GGGCUCGUGGCCUAGUGGUAUGGCGUCCGCUUUGCAAGCGGAAGGUCGCGGUUUCGAUCACCGUCGGGUCCA
The sequence is a transfer RNA, 72 nucleotides long. It matches the Rfam family "tRNA". Rfam says of the family: Transfer RNA (tRNA) molecules are approximately 80 nucleotides in length. Their secondary structure includes four short double-helical elements and three loops (D, anti-codon, and T loops). The record is from Rfam.